AUUGAACGCUGGCGGCAGGCCUAACACAUGCAAGUCGAACGAGUGGCGGACGGGUGAGUAGUGUCUGGGAAACUGCCCGAUGGAGGGGGAUAACUACUGGCAACGGUAGCUAAUACCGCUUACCAUCGUAUGUGCCCAGAUGGGAUUAGCGAGUAGGUGGGGUAAUGGCUCACCUAGGCGACGAUCCCUAGCGUGUCUGAGAGGAUGCCCAGCCACACUGUAACUGAGACACGGUCCAGACUCCUACGGGAGGCAGCAGUGGGGAAUAUUGCACAAUGGGCGCAAGCCUGAUGCAGCCAUGCCGCGUGUAUGAAGAAGGCCUUCGGGUUGUAAAGUACUUUCAGCGAGGAGGCGGUACUGGCAGAAGAAGUACCGGCUAACUCCGUGCCAGCCGCCGCGGUAAUUG
RNAcentral lists this ribosomal RNA (406 nucleotides) under uncultured bacterium. Its description in RNAcentral is "partial 16S ribosomal RNA". It matches the Rfam family "Bacterial small subunit ribosomal RNA", at positions 30 to 527 of the family's 1533-position model. The record is from RNAcentral.